GGAAAUAUAGCAUAAGUUUAAUGUGUCUCAGUUACGUUGAGAACAUCUCCUAUCAGGAGUAUUUCUU
This 67-nucleotide transfer RNA is filed under the name Thylacodes aureus. RNAcentral's name for it is "tRNA-Val". Lineage: Eukaryota; Metazoa; Mollusca; Gastropoda; Littorinimorpha; Vermetidae. The record is from RNAcentral.